GUUAAUGGAGUCCUAGUACCCCUCUUUUGGAUGGGGUUUUGUUAGUUUGUGUGAGGAAGUUUUGUCUGUCGAAAAUGGCUUCCCCUACUGUUGCUAUGAAGCUUCUCGGAACGAGUUUGGUUGGCAGUUUCAGAGGUGGAUACCGGAUCUGGUCAUCAUUGCCAUCCAUGCCCUUUCUCGGAUUCGUCCGGCCCUAGCCCUAGUCCAAGAUUUUCUUUUGGUUUGCUGCAUUAUUUCCGUCUCAUUUGGGCAUGCAAGUGUUAAGCAGAAAGGAAAUUUGUGUUUGGGUUAGGUAUUUUGAUGUCCCUCCAAUAUAUCUAUACUUCCUUUAUAUAUUUGAUAUUUUCUUGCUGCCUGCGUUUUUUCCUUGGAAGAUUAGCGAAGAAGUUGCUAGUGAUAGUGAAGUUAGCAGCAGCAACAAUGAAGAUGGGUGGUUCGCAUCUCAAUCCUUUUAGUAAAGAUAUAAAGGUGUUAGGGGUUUGGGAUCUAUGGAUGUUAGGAUUCGGGCCUGUUUCUGGCCUUAGAGAUUUAUAUUGUAUCGUAUUUUUUUGGUAGUUUGGACUUGUAUAAUUCUAUUACAUAAUUUUUGGUAAAAAAAAAA
This 601-nucleotide unclassified non-coding RNA is filed under the name Hevea brasiliensis (rubber tree). The record is from RNAcentral. Lineage: Eukaryota; Viridiplantae; Streptophyta; Magnoliopsida; Malpighiales; Euphorbiaceae.